RNAcentral lists this ribosomal RNA (616 nucleotides) under uncultured bacterium. RNAcentral's name for it is "bacterial SSU rRNA". The stretch from base 1 to 543 matches the Rfam family "Bacterial small subunit ribosomal RNA", at positions 338 to 873 of the family's 1533-position model. The record is from RNAcentral.
CCUACGGGAGGCAGCAGUGGGGAAUUUUGGACAAUGGGGGCAACCCUGAUCCAGCCAUUCCGCGUGAGUGAAGAAGGCCUUCGGGUUGUAAAGCUCUUUUGUCGGGGACGAAACGGUUACGAUUAAUACUCGUGACAACUGACGGUACCCGAAGAAUAAGCACCGGCUAACUACGUGCCAGCAGCCGCGGUAAUACGUAGGGUGCGAGCGUUAAUCGGAAUUACUGGGCGUAAAGCGUGCGCAGGCGGUUUUGUAAGCCAGAUGUGAAAUCCCCGGGCUUAACCUGGGAAUGGCAUUUGGGACUGCAAGGCUAGAGUAUGGCAGAGGAGACUAGAAUUUCUGGUGUAGCAGUGAAAUGCGUAGAUAUCAGAAGGAAUACCGAUGGCGAAGGCAGGUCUCUGGGUCAAUACUGACGCUCAUGCACGAAAGCGUGGGGAGCAAACAGGAUUAGAUACCCUGGUAGUCCACGCCCUAAACGAUGUCAACUGGUUGUUGGGAGAUUUAUUCUCUUAGUAACGAAGCUAACGCGUGAAGUUGACCGCCUGGGGGAGGUACGGUCGCGAGAUAACUACAAGAAGUAGAGCGNGAGAGUGCGACGACGACGACGAGGGAGAGG